This 464-nucleotide ribosomal RNA is filed under the name uncultured bacterium. RNAcentral's name for it is "partial 16S ribosomal RNA". It matches the Rfam family "Bacterial small subunit ribosomal RNA", at positions 339 to 795 of the family's 1533-position model. The record is from RNAcentral.
CUACGGGGUGCUGCAGUGGGGAAUUUUGGACAAUGGGCGCAAGCCUGAUCCAGCAAUGCCGCGUGCAGGAUGAAGGCCUUCGGGUUGUAAACUGCUUUUGUACGGAGCGAAAAGUUCUUCUCUAAUACGGAAGGAUGAUGACGGUACCGUAAGAAUAAGCACCGGCUAACUACGUGCCAGCAGCCGCGGUAAUACGUAGGGUGCGAGCGUUAAUCGGAAUUACUUGGCGUAAAGCGUGCGCAGGCGGUUUUGUAAGACAGGCGUGAAAUCCCCGGGCUCAACCUGGGAAUGGCGCUUGUGACUGCAAGGCUGGAGUACGGCAGAGGGGGAUGGAAUUCCGCGUGUAGCAGUGAAAUGCGUACAUAUGCGGAGGAACACCGAUGGCGAAGGCAAUCCCCUGGGCCUGUACUGACGCUCAUGCACGAAAGCGUGGGGAGCAAACAGGAUUAGAUACCCCUGUAGUC